This 484-nucleotide ribosomal RNA is filed under the name uncultured bacterium. RNAcentral describes it as "partial 16S ribosomal RNA". It matches the Rfam family "Bacterial small subunit ribosomal RNA", at positions 30 to 507 of the family's 1533-position model. The record is from RNAcentral.
AUUGAACGCUGGCGGCAGGCCUAACACAUGCAAGUCGAGCGGAUGAAGGGAGCUUGCUCCUGGAUUCAGCGGCGGACGGGUGAGUAAUGCCUAGGAAUCUGCCUGGUAGUGGGGGAUAACGUCCGGAAACGGGCGCUAAUACCGCAUACGUCCUGAGGGAGAAAGUGGGGGAUCUUCGGACCUCACGCUAUCAGAUGAGCCUAGGUCGGAUUAGCUAGUUGGUGGGGUAAAGGCCUACCCAGGCGACGAUCCGUAACUGGUCUGAGAGGAUGAUCGGUCACACUGGAACUGAGACACGGUCCAGACUCCUACGGGAGGCAGCAGUGGGGAAUAUUGGACAAUGGGCGAAAGCCUGAUCCAGCCAUGCCGCGUGUGUGAAGAAGGCCUUCGGAUUGUAAAGCACUUUAAGUUGGGAGGAAGGGCAGUAAGUUAAUACCUUGCUGUUUUGACGUUACCAACAGAAUAAGCACCGGCUAACUUCGUG